Molecule: ribosomal RNA, 668 nt
Filed under: Hepatozoon canis
Lineage: Eukaryota; Apicomplexa; Hepatozoidae
Description: bacterial SSU rRNA
Rfam family: Eukaryotic small subunit ribosomal RNA
Source: RNAcentral
UAUACAUGAGCAAAAUCUCAACUUUAUUAGAAGAGACGCAUUUAUUAGAUAAAAAGCCAAUGCAUGCUUUUACAGUAUGAAAAUUGGUGAUUUAUAAUAACUUAGCAAAUCGCAAAGUGAAAACAGGCGAUAAAUCAUUCAAGUUUCUGACCUAUCAGCUUUCGACGGUAUGGUAUUGGCUUACCGUGGCAGUGACGGUUAACGGGGGAUUAGGGUUCGAUUCCGGAGAGGGAGCCUGAGAAACGGCUACCACAUCUAAGGAAGGCAGCAGGCGCGCAAAUUACCCAAUUCUAACAGUUUGAGAGAGGUAGUAACAAGAAAUAACAAUACAAGGCAGUUAAAAUGCUUUGUAAUUGGAAUGAUAGAAAUUUAAACCCUUUUUAAAGUAUCAAUUGGAGGGCAAGUCUGGUGCCAGCAGCCGCGGUAAUUCCAGCUCCAAUAGCGUAUAUUAAAAUUGUUGCAGUUAAAAAGCUCGUAGUUGAAGUUCUGCUAAAAGUAACCGGUCUGCUUUGAAUAAAAGUGGUAUCUUGGUAUGUAUUUAGCAAUGAUGUCCUUUGAAGUGUUUUUUACUUUAUUGUAAUAAAGCAUAUUCAGGACUUUUACUUUGAGAAAAUUAGAGUGUUUCUAGCAGGCCAACGCUUUGAAUACUGCAGCAUGGAAUAAUAAGA